CCGAGUUUACAACUCCCAAACCCAUGUGAACAUACCUACUGUUGCUUCGGCGGGAUUGCCCCGGGUGCGUAAAAGCCCCGGAACCAGGCGCCCGCCGGAGGAACCAACCAAACUCUUUCUGUAGUCCCCUCGCGGACGUAUUUCUUACAGCUCUGAGCAAAAAUUCAAAAUGAAUCA
RNAcentral lists this unclassified non-coding RNA (177 nucleotides) under soil metagenome. RNAcentral describes it as "partial internal transcribed spacer 1". The record is from RNAcentral.